CAAGUCGUACGAGAGGUUUUGACUCAAGUGGCGGACGGGUGAGUAACACGUAAGAAUUUGCCUUUAGGAGGGGGAUAACAAUUGGAAACGAUUGCUAAUACCCCAUAUGCUUUUAAGUGAAAUGGAAUUUCCGCCUAGAGAGAAGCUUGCGGCUGAUUAGCUUGUUGGUAGAGUAAUAGCCUACCAAGGCGACGAUCAGUAUCUGGUUUGAGAGGACGAUCAGACACACUGGAACUGAGACACGGUCCAGACUCCUACGGGAGGCAGCAGUAGGGAAUUUUCCGCAAUGGGCGAAAGCCUGACGGAGCAAUACCGCGUGAGGGAUGACUGCCUAUGGGUUGUAAACCUCUUUUUUCAGGGAGGAAUAUAUGACGUGUACCUGAAGAAUAAGCAUCGGCUAACUCCGUGCCAGCAGCCGCGGUAAGACGGAGGAUGCAAGUGUUAUCCGGAAUCACUGGGCGUAAAGCGUCUGUAGGUGGAUUAAUAAGUCAACUGUUAAAGCUUGGGGCUCAACCUCGAAAUCGCAUUUGAAACUAUUAAACUAGAGUAUAGUAGAGGUAAAGGGAAUUUCCAGUGGAGCGGUGAAAUGCGUAGAGAUUGGAAAGAACACCGAUGGCGAAGGCACUUUACUGGGCUAUUACUGACACUCAGAGACGAAAGCUAGGGUAGCAAAUGGGAUUAGAUACCCCAGUAGUCCUAGCUGUAAACUAUGGAUACUAGGUGUUGAACAGAUCGAUCUGUGCAGUACUAAAGCUAACGCGUUAAGUAUCUCGCCUGGGAAGUAUGCACGCAAGUGUGAAACUCAAAGGAAUUGACGGGGGCCCGCAC
RNAcentral lists this ribosomal RNA (828 nucleotides) under uncultured marine organism. Its description in RNAcentral is "SSU rRNA". It matches the Rfam family "Bacterial small subunit ribosomal RNA", at positions 58 to 926 of the family's 1533-position model. The record is from RNAcentral.